This 970-nucleotide long non-coding RNA is filed under the name Triticum aestivum (bread wheat). RNAcentral describes it as "long non-coding RNA (TAES_LNC024130)". The record is from RNAcentral. Lineage: Eukaryota; Viridiplantae; Streptophyta; Magnoliopsida; Poales; Poaceae.
GGGAUGUGAAAUGCCAUGCGGGUGUAAAACAGGAAAGCGGUAAAAAAAACCAUGCGGUGGAUUGCUAUAACCCUUUCCGAACUGACUGACUGACUGACUCUGUUUCUUCCUUGACAUGUCACCCACACACACACGACAGAGGUGAGGACAGACAGGAUUUAUUCGACCACACAGCUAGUUUACUACAGAUUACUGGUUCCGAAUCGCAGGUUCCAGCCGAGCCACGCCUUUCCCCUACAUACAUUUGCACGGGCGGACGGCCGAGGGAGAGCAGACGGCGGCGGCGGCGACGACGACGACGGGCGGCGGGUAUCGGCUAGGCUCGGGCCGGACCGGAUUCUUGGUGCCUUGUCCACGACGGAUGACGCAUCACGGGUUGGUGAUGUCGUGGAUGCUCUUGCGCUUGCUGUCGCCGCGGGUGGCGGCGUUGGCCUGGCGGAUGAAGUACUUCUGCGCAUGGCUGGCCACCUGCGUCGGCGUCCGCGUCUUCACCGACCACCGCGAGAUGUUCCUCCAAUCCCCGCGCCCGUACUUCUCCAGCCCCUCCAGGAACAUCCUAUUGCCGAGACCCAACGGAGAAAAAGGUCAGCGCCAGUAUAGAUCGCAUAGCAAAAAUGGUAAAAAUUUACGUGUGGCAUGGUGGGGCCAGCGGAAUCAUCCGACGUGGCAAGAUCCGGGGAAGUAUCUAGGACCUCGAAGAACGCGCCGACUAAUAACAGGGGAAAGGGACAAGAAAACGAACAGGGUCCAGGGAAGGAAGGCAGUUGGAGAUUUUGACGGCGGAGGGGUGUGUAUACCUGUGCUCCUCCUCGGUCCAGGGUAUGCCCUUGCGGCGCUCCUCGCCGCCGGAGCCGCGGGGGCGGCCGCGCCCCGCCGCGACGGUGCCGCCGCCGCCGGCGGCGCCGUCGUCGUCGUCGUCCCACGACUCGGGGGGCUCGACCAGGCCGCGCUCGAUGAGGUCGAUGUCGGC